This 364-nucleotide unclassified non-coding RNA is filed under the name uncultured fungus. RNAcentral's name for it is "partial contains small subunit ribosomal RNA, internal transcribed spacer 1, and 5.8S ribosomal RNA". The stretch from base 1 to 73 matches the Rfam family "Eukaryotic small subunit ribosomal RNA", at positions 1759 to 1831 of the family's 1831-position model. Lineage: Eukaryota; Fungi. The record is from RNAcentral.
UCAAACUUGGUCAUUUAGAGGAAGUAAAAGUCGUAACAAGGUCUCCGUUGGUGAACCAGCGGAGGGAUCAUUACAGAGUUUUCUAUAAAACUCCCAACCCUUUGUGAACCUUACCGUAGUUGCCUCGGCGGCGAGCCGCGCGUCGGAAUCCAGAAGGGGCUACCCUGCUGGUAGCCACCUACCCCGUGUAGGUGGUUACCUUGGAGCUACCCUGGAGCUACCCUGAAGUGGACGCCGGCCCCGUCGAAGGACCACGCAAACUCUUGUUCUUUUUUUGUGUCUCUCUGAAUUAAGAAACAAAAGAAAAUCGUUAAAAACUUUCAACAACGGAUCUCUUGGUUCUGGCAUCGAUGAAGAACGCAGC